AUUGAACGCUGGCGGCGUGCUUAACACAUGCAAGUCGAACGAUGAAGCUGGAGCUUGCUCUAGCGGAUUAGUGGCGAACGGGUGAGUAAUACGUGAGCAAUCUGCCCUUGACUCUGGGAUAACCGCGGGAAACUGUAGCUAAUACCGGAUACGAGACUUAGAGGAAUCUCUGAGUAUGGAAAGAAUUUCGGUCAAGGAUGAGCUCGCGGCCUCUCAGCUAGUUGGUGAGGUAAUGGCUCACCAAGGCGACGACGGGUAGCCGGCCUGAGAGGGUGACCGGCCACACUGGGACUGAGACACGGCCCAGACACCCACGGGAGGCAGCAGUGGGGAAUAUUGCACAAUGGGCGAAAGCCUGAUGCAGCAACGCCGCGUAAGGGAUGAAGGCCUUCGGGUUGUAAACCUCUUUUAGCAGGGAAGAAGCGAAAGUGACGGUACCUGCAGAAAAAGCACCGGCUAACUACGUGCCAGCCGCCGCAGUAA
Molecule: ribosomal RNA, 483 nt
Filed under: uncultured bacterium
Lineage: Bacteria
Description: partial 16S ribosomal RNA
Rfam family: Bacterial small subunit ribosomal RNA
Source: RNAcentral